GUAGGGAAUAUUGGGCAAUGGUCGGAAGACUGACCCAGCCAUGCCGCGUGCAGGAAGACGGCCCUCUGGGUUGUAAACUGCUUUUAUCUGGGAAGAAAAAGGCCAUGCGUGGCAAAUUGCCGGUACCAGAUGAAUAAGCACCGGCUAACUCCGUGCCAGCAGCCGCGGUAAUACGGAGGGUGCGAGCGUAGUCCGGAUUUAUUGGGUUUAAAGGGUGCGGAGGCGGCUGAUUAAGUCAGCGGUGAAAGACUUCGGCUUAACCGGAGCAGUGCCGUUGAUACUGGUUGGCUUGAGUGUCGGAGGGGUACAUGGAAUUGAUGGUGUAGCGGUGAAAUGCAUAGAUACCAUCAGGAACACCGAUAGCGAAGGCAUUGUACUGGCCGACAACUGACGCUGAUGCACGAAAGUGUGGGGAUCGAACAGGAUUAGAUACCCCGGUAGUCC
Molecule: ribosomal RNA, 444 nt
Filed under: uncultured bacterium
Lineage: Bacteria
Description: partial 16S ribosomal RNA
Rfam family: Bacterial small subunit ribosomal RNA
Source: RNAcentral